RNAcentral lists this non-coding RNA (31 nucleotides) under Rattus norvegicus (Norway rat). The record is from RNAcentral. Lineage: Eukaryota; Metazoa; Chordata; Mammalia; Rodentia; Muridae.
UGCCAGGAAUCACUUUAGCAGUCAGGCCAGG